CAGUGGGGAAUAUUGGACAWUGGGGGCAACCGUGAUCCACCCAUSCCGCGUGUGUGAAGAAGGCCUUAGGGUUGUAAAGCACUUUCAGUGAGGAGGAAAAGUUAGUGGUUAAUACCCAUUAGUCGUGACGUUACUCACAGAAGAAGCACCGGCAAACUCCGUGCCAGCAGCCGCGGUAAUACGGAGGGUGCGAGCGUUAAUCGGAAUUACUGGGCGUAAAGCGCGCGUAGGCGGUUUGUUAAGCCGUUUGUGAAAUCCCUAGGCUCAACCUAGGAAAUGCACCCGGAAMUGGCAAGYUAGAGUAUUGUAGARGAAGKUGGAAUUCCUCGUGUAGCGGUGAAAWRMGUAGAUAUGWGGAGGAACAUCAKUGGCGAAGGCGGCSUUCUGGASUAAUACUGACGMUGAGGUGCGAAAAVGUGGGGAGCAAACARSAUUAGAUACCCUCGUAGUCCUCCCCGUAUCGAYGUCAAMUAGUUGUUGGARCCCUAGAGGUUUCAGURACGCAGCUAACGCAGUAA
This 518-nucleotide ribosomal RNA is filed under the name uncultured bacterium. RNAcentral's name for it is "partial 16S ribosomal RNA". It matches the Rfam family "Bacterial small subunit ribosomal RNA", at positions 352 to 863 of the family's 1533-position model. The record is from RNAcentral.